This 898-nucleotide ribosomal RNA is filed under the name uncultured bacterium. RNAcentral's name for it is "bacterial SSU rRNA". It matches the Rfam family "Bacterial small subunit ribosomal RNA", at positions 600 to 1505 of the family's 1533-position model. The record is from RNAcentral.
UUGCGGGGCUCAACCCCGUACAGCCGUUGAAACUGCCGGGCUCGAGUGGGCGAGAAGUAUGCGGAAUGCGUGGUGUAGCGGUGAAAUGCAUAGAUAUCACGCAGAACCCCGAUUGCGAAGGCAGCAUACCGGCGCCCUACUGACGCUGAGGCACGAAAGUGCGGGGAUCAAACAGGAUUAGAUACCCUGGUAGUCCGCACAGUAAACGAUGAAUGCUAGCUGUCCGGGGGGAUUGACCCCUGGGUGGCACAGCGAAAGCGUUAAGCAUUCCACCUGGGGAGUACGCCGGCAACGGUGAAACUCAAAGGAAUUGACGGGGGCCCGCACAAGCGGAGGAACAUGUGGUUUAAUUCGAUGAUACGCGAGGAACCUUACCCGGGCUCAAACGCCGAAGGAACAUUCCCCGAAAGGGGAAUGGCCAGCAAUGGUCUUCGGCGAGGUGCUGCAUGGUUGUCGUCAGCUCGUGCCGUGAGGUGUCGGCUUAAGUGCCAUAACGAGCGCAACCCCCAUCGCCAGUUACCAGCAAGUCAAGUUGGGGACUCUGGCGAGACUGCCGGCGCAAGCUGUGAGGAAGGCGGGGAUGACGUCAAAUCAGCACGGCCCUUACGUCCGGGGCGACACACGUGUUACAAUGGCAGGUACAGAGAGAAGCAAUGCGGCGACGCAAAGCGGAACUUGAAAGCCUGUCUCAGUUCGGAUUGGAGUCUGCAACUCGACUCCAUGAAGCUGGAUUCGCUAGUAAUCGCGCAUCAGCCAUGGCGCGGUGAAUACGUUCCCGGGCCUUGUACACACCGCCCGUCAAGCCAUGGAAGCCGGGGGUGCCUGAAGUGCGCUGCCGCGAGGAGCGCCCUAGGGUAAAACCGGUGACUGGGGCUAAGUCGUAACAAGGUAACCGUAA